Molecule: ribosomal RNA, 305 nt
Filed under: uncultured bacterium
Lineage: Bacteria
Description: bacterial SSU rRNA
Rfam family: Bacterial small subunit ribosomal RNA
Source: RNAcentral
ACUCCCCUACGGGGGGCAGCAGUGGGGGAUAUUGCACAAUGGGGGAAACCCCGAUGCAGCGACGCCGCGUGGGUGAAGAAGCGCCUCGGCGCGUAAAGCCCUGUCAGCAGGGAAGAAAAUGACGGUACCUGAAGAAGAAGCCCCGGCUAACUACGUGCCAGCAGCCGCGGUAAUACGUAGGGGGCGAGCGUUAUCCGGAUUUACUGGGUGUAAAGGGAGCGUAGACGGUUCUGCAAGUCUGAAGUGAAAGCCCGUGGCCUAACCGCGGAACGGCUUUGGAAACUGUGGAACUGGAGUGCUGGAGG